CUCAUCUUGAUGCAUCCUGCGAAGUCAGAUGUGUCCAGCUUGCACCUGAUUGACUGUGUGAAGAAUUAUUUGUCUUCUUUAAAUGAAAUCCAGGACUUUCAGCCUCAGUUCAAUUCUGAUCUUCUAUCCUACUGAAACUCCCUUGUUUGAUUUACUGCCUGGACUAAAUGAUGCAGAAAAAAUCACAGCUAAUCUGACCUUUGCUCUUGCUGUUUGGCUAAAC
Molecule: long non-coding RNA, 223 nt
Filed under: Gallus gallus (chicken)
Lineage: Eukaryota; Metazoa; Chordata; Aves; Galliformes; Phasianidae
Source: RNAcentral